GUCGUCACGGUCACUUUGUG
This 20-nucleotide unclassified non-coding RNA is filed under the name Mus musculus (house mouse). RNAcentral's name for it is "oocyte_clustered_small_RNA12107". Lineage: Eukaryota; Metazoa; Chordata; Mammalia; Rodentia; Muridae. The record is from RNAcentral.